This is a long non-coding RNA of Microtus oregoni (creeping vole), 1842 nucleotides long. RefSeq lists it as uncharacterized. NCBI's taxonomy places the organism in Eukaryota, Metazoa, Chordata, Mammalia, Rodentia, Cricetidae. The transcript has 3 exons. The record is from RefSeq and is a predicted model, not a curated record.
CUCCCGCCGGCUCUGAGACUGUCGGAGCUGCUGGGCACAAUGGGGGAGAGCUGAGUCUGCUUUGUAGCCCUAGCCUGAAGUCUCCCUGCCUUUGUGACUGCCGCAGGGAUGCUUCAGAGGCCUCGGGCUUGCCUUUGUGAGCACAAUUAAACCCCGGAAAAGGAAGGCUUCCUUCUCUUUCCUGUCGUCAUGACACCGGGCACUAGCGUCGCUUUACGCCUUCUGAUUGACAGAAGAAGAAAGGUCUAUGCUUUCUGUUGAUUUAACAUGAUGGGUUCCGGAGAUGUCCGCACAGUAGGGACAGCAUCUCCUCCUCGCUUGGAUUCCCGACAGGCAACUAACAGCUUAGAUGCCAGCAUUUGAAGCAUUGUGGCUGCUGGACAUUCUGCUCGAAGGUGACGAUCCUAAAAUGCCAACAGGCCCGUCUCCUUUGCAGAGGCCCCCUUAUCCCAGCUCAGCAUCUCUUGGGCAUCUCUUGGGCUCUGGCAGAAGUUUUGGUCUCUAUUAUCAGGUGCUUCCAAGAGUAAAGGUAUCAGCUCUCUAGCCAGAGAGCUGGGAUUCCAGUUUGCCCAGUGCUCCAGAAGACGGACAAACAGGAGUGCUACUUCAAUGCGGAACUUGGAACUGAGGAAGCCGUCUUAGAAUCAUAGACAUGGGUCUUCAAGGAUGGAUGGAAAUGAGCCGAAUGGAGGGAGAAUUGUACUCCAGAGAUGGGAAGGAACAUCCGCAGGAUGUUUCAUGCAAAGCAGGGACUUGAGUGAGAUUAGCAGGAAAGGGCUCUGGAUCAUCCAGGGUCUUAUAGUGAGUGUUACAAUUUAUGGUGUUGUGACCCUGACAGCAUGGGAGACCUCGGCGGGUGGGAGACAGACAGAUACGCCAUGUGGAGAGAGGUAAGGGGGUAUGGAGGAGAGAGAGAGAGAGAGACAGAGAUGACAGAGACACAGAGACAAAGAGGAAGGGGGAAAGGAGAGGCAGGGGUUGCCUCUUCAGAAGAAGAAUGGACAGAAAGAAAAAAAGGAAGACAGGAGGUGGGAGAUCAGCUUGCCUUGGUGGGAAGGAGAAGACUGGGAGUGGUCGGAACUUGCCUCUUAAAUGGACAGGGUAUCCCGGGAUGUGAUAGAGCCCGGGAGAGGUGGGGAUGAGCAGAAGGACUUCAGGUUAUCUGGGUCAUUGUCUCGUGGAGGACUCUGUCGAUCUGGCUCUUCUCCUUCGGCCUGUCUCUUCAUUUCAUCCAGAAGAGUGGUUUUACUCUGCCCUGUACAGUCCCCAUCAUAUGCUAUCCCAUCACAGCCCCAAAACAGCGAUGUCAAAUGGAUAAACUUCAGUUUCCUCAGCUAUGAGUCAAAAGAACCCCUUUGUCUUAGUAAAUCGAUUGGCUCGGGUGUUUGCUAAUAGUGAAGGAAAGCUGACUCAAUAGUGAAGGAAAGCUGACUCAUGACUGCAGGAACUCUAUGCUGAAAGCCCUUGUUUUCCCACUACCCUCGCCUGGGGAGGACAGCAAUUCAUGGUGUAGAGGACCUGAAAAUAGCUUGAGAGAAACAAAUGAGGCCUAACCAGAGACAGCAAGUGACAAAAGCAAAAUGACCCUCAAAACCUUGGUUAAAAUGGUAAGGGAGUGAGCUCAGGAUAUAAAGGGAGUUUAGGGAUGGCCUAAGGCCAGGGCUUUACUGCCUGGUGCACAGGACAUGUGACUCAGAAUCUGAGGCUACUGUGAGAAAAGACAUUGCAUAUGAGUCCUUCUGUUUUCCUAGCAAACUCCUCCAAACCAGUCCGCAGUCUUCCCUAAUCCCAUGCAAAUAGAAAGCCUACUAAAAAAAAAAAAAAAAAAAAAAAAAAAAAAAA